Molecule: ribosomal RNA, 478 nt
Filed under: uncultured bacterium
Lineage: Bacteria
Description: partial 16S ribosomal RNA
Rfam family: Bacterial small subunit ribosomal RNA
Source: RNAcentral
GAUGAACGCUGGCGGCGUGCUUAACACAUGCAAGUCGAACGGGAAUUCUUUUAUUGCAACUUCGGUCGAUUUAAUUUAAUUCUAGUGGCGGACGGGUGAGUAACGCGUGGGUAACCUGCCUUAUACAGGGGGAUAACAGUCAGAAAUGGCUGCUAAUACCGCAUAAGCGCACAGAGCUGCAUGGCUCAGUGUGAACAACUCCGGAGGUCUAAGAUGGACCCGCGUUGGAUUAGCUUGUUGGCAGGGUAACGGCCUACCAAGGCGACGAUCCAUAGCCGGCCUGAGAGGGUGAACGGCCACAUUGGGACUGAGACACGGCCCAGACUCCUACAGGAGGCAGCAGUGGGGAAUAUUGCACAAUGGGGGAAACCCUGAUGCAGCGACGCCGCGUGAAGGAAGAAGUAUCUCGGUAUGUAAACUUCUAUCAGCAGGGAAGAUAGUGACGGUACCUGACGAAGAAGCCCCGGCUAACUACGUG